RNAcentral lists this ribosomal RNA (443 nucleotides) under uncultured Pseudomonas sp. Its description in RNAcentral is "bacterial SSU rRNA". It matches the Rfam family "Bacterial small subunit ribosomal RNA", at positions 939 to 1382 of the family's 1533-position model. Lineage: Bacteria; Pseudomonadati; Pseudomonadota; Gammaproteobacteria; Pseudomonadales; Pseudomonadaceae. The record is from RNAcentral.
AUGUGGUUAAUUCGAAGCAACGCGAAGAACCUUACCAGGCCUUGACAUGCAGAGAACUUUCCAGAGAUGGAUUGGUGCCUUCGGGAACUCUGACACAGGUGCUGCAUGGCUGUCGUCAGCUCGUGUCGUGAGAUGUUGGGUUAAGUCCCGUAACGAGCGCAACCCUUGUCCUUAGUUACCAGCACGUUAUGGUGGGCACUCUAAGGAGACUGCCGGUGACAAACCGGAGGAAGGUGGGGAUGACGUCAAGUCAUCAUGGCCCUCACGGCCUGGGCUACACACGUGCUACAAUGGUCGGUACAAAGGGUUGCCAAGCCGCGAGGUGGAGCUAAUCCCAUAAAACCGAUCGUAGUCCGGAUCGCAGUCUGCAACUCGACUGCGUGAAGUCGGAAUCGCUAGUAAUCGUGAAUCAGAAUGUCACGGUGAAUACGUUCCCGGGCCUU